RNAcentral lists this ribosomal RNA (433 nucleotides) under uncultured bacterium. Its description in RNAcentral is "partial 16S ribosomal RNA". It matches the Rfam family "Bacterial small subunit ribosomal RNA", at positions 29 to 507 of the family's 1533-position model. The record is from RNAcentral.
AACGAACGCUGGCGGCAUGCCUAACACAUGCAAGUCGAACGAGACCUUCGGGCCUAGUGGCGCACGGGUGCGUAACGCGUGGGAACCUGCCCUUAGGUUCGGAAUAACUCCCCGAAAGGGGUGCUAAUACCGGAUAAUGUCUUCGGACCAAAGAUUUAUCGCCUUUGGAUGGGCCCGCGUUGGAUUCGCUAGUUGGUAGGGUAAAAGCCUACCAAGGCGACGAUCCAUAGCUGGUCUGAGAGGAUGAUCAGCCACACUGGGACUGAGACACGGCCCAGACUCGUACGGGAGGCAGCAGUGGGGAAUAUUGGACGAGGGGCGAAAGCCUGAUCCAGCAGUGCCGCGUGAGUGAUGAAGGCCUUAGGGUUGUAAAGCUCUUUUACCCGGGAUGAUAAUGACAGUACCGGGAGAAUAAGCUCCGGCUAACUCCGUG